GAUGAACGCUGGCGGCGUGCCUAAUACAUGCAAGUCGAGCGAACAGAUAAGGAGCUUGCUCCUUUGACGUUAGCGGCGGACGGGUGAGUAACACGUGGGUAACCUACCUAUAAGACUGGGAUAACUUCGGGAAACCGGAGCUAAUACCGGAUAAUAUUUCGAACCGCAUGGUUCGAUAGUGAAAGAUGGUUUUGCUAUCACUUAUAGAUGGACCCGCGCCGUAUUAGCUAGUUGGUAAGGUAACGGCUUACCAAGGCAACGAUGCGUAGCCGACCUGAGAGGGUGAUCGGCCACACUGGAACUGAGACACGGUCCAGACUCCUACGGGAGGCAGCAGUAGGGAAUCUUCCGCAAUGGGCGAAAGCCUGACGGAGCAACGCCGCGUGAGUGAUGAAGGUCUUCGGAUCGUAAAACUCUGUUAUUAGGGAAGAACAUACGUGUAAGUAACUGUGCACGUCUUGACGGUACCUAAUCAGAAAGCCACGGCUAACUACGUG
This 497-nucleotide ribosomal RNA is filed under the name uncultured bacterium. RNAcentral describes it as "partial 16S ribosomal RNA". It matches the Rfam family "Bacterial small subunit ribosomal RNA", at positions 28 to 507 of the family's 1533-position model. The record is from RNAcentral.